RNAcentral lists this ribosomal RNA (253 nucleotides) under uncultured bacterium. Its description in RNAcentral is "partial 16S ribosomal RNA". It matches the Rfam family "Bacterial small subunit ribosomal RNA", at positions 524 to 776 of the family's 1533-position model. The record is from RNAcentral.
UCCGGAGGGUGCAAUCGUUGUUCGGAAUUACUGGGCGUAAAGCGCGUGUAGGUGGUUCGGUAAGUCGAAUGUGAAAGCCCCGGGCUCAACCCGGGAAGUGCAUCCGAAACUGCCGAACUAGAGUCCCGGAGAGGAAGGCAGAAUUCCCAAUGUAGGGGUGAAAUCCGUAGAUAUUGGGAGGAAUACCGGUGGCGAAGGCGGCCUUCUGGACGGUGACUGACACUCAGACGCGAAAGCGUGGGGAGAAAACAGG